Long non-coding RNA from Hermetia illucens (black soldier fly), 534 nucleotides. RefSeq lists it as uncharacterized. The record is from RefSeq and is a predicted model, not a curated record. Lineage: Eukaryota; Metazoa; Arthropoda; Insecta; Diptera; Stratiomyidae. The transcript is spliced from 3 exons.
UUCAGAUGGAUAAAUUUUGUUUUUCAAAGUAUAUAUUUCAGUUUGUCUUGUCGCAGAAGUGAACCGCGUGCAUCCAAAUUCGUUCAAGGUGAUGUUGUAUUGUGUGAAUGGAGGAGGGGAGGCUAAUAAUUUUCGAUCUUGUUGUGAAUAACUUUGAACCUGAAGUUGGACAAGUGUUUACCGAUUAUGGAUAUAUGUGUACAUACAUUCGUUCACAUUUUUAUGUCAUCUAAGAUUAUUUCAUAACUUAGUGUUUGGCUAUAUAAAUUGCGGCACACAUUUCCAAAUAUGUAGUUUUCAUAGAGUAUCCGUGAGAAGGAAUAAUGAAAUUUGCGAGCAUUUUUGCAUUUGCUGCGUUCGCAUUAGUCCUCUUUGUCGGCUCUGGUGCUGCGAGGAGUCAUCACCAUAAGGACAAAGUGGCACGCGAUGGAAAAUUGUUCGACCCCAUCAAUAAAACCUAUUUUCCCAAGUUUAAAUAGAAUUGGAAUUCGGAGUCGCUUGAAUUGAAUUUAAUAAAAGAGAUAUGCAUGAAAA